GACGAACGCUGGCGGCGUGCUUAACACAUGCAAGUCGAACGAAGUGGCGAACGGGUGGGUAACGCGUAAUCAACCUGCCCUUCAGAGGGGGACAACAGUUGGAAACGACUGCUAAUACCGCAUACUGAAGGAGGGGAUUGCGUCUGAUUAGCUAGUUGGAGGGGUAACGGCCAACCAAGGGGAUGAUCAGUAGCCGGUCUGGGAAGGUGGACGGCCACAAUGGGGCCGGGGAACGGCCCAGGCUCCUACGGGAAGGAGCAGUGGGGGAUCUUCCGCAAUGGACGGAAGUCCGACGGCACAAAGCCGCGUGGGUGAAGACGGCCUUCUGGGUGUAAAGCUCUGUUAGUCGGGGCGCGGUACCGGAAUAGAAAGCCACGGCUAACUACGUGCCAGCAGCCGCGGUAAUUC
This 408-nucleotide ribosomal RNA is filed under the name uncultured bacterium. RNAcentral's name for it is "partial 16S ribosomal RNA". It matches the Rfam family "Bacterial small subunit ribosomal RNA", at positions 28 to 526 of the family's 1533-position model. The record is from RNAcentral.